Molecule: unclassified non-coding RNA, 322 nt
Filed under: uncultured fungus
Lineage: Eukaryota; Fungi
Description: sequence contains ITS2
Source: RNAcentral
AACGCACCUUGCGCUCCUUGGUAUUCCUCGGAGCAUGCCUGUUUGAGUAUCAUGAAAUCCUCAAAGUAAAUCUUUUGUUGACUCAAUUGGUUCCACUUUGGUAUUGGAGGUCUUGCAGCUUCACACCUGCUCCUCUUUGUUCAUUAGCUGGAUCUCGGUGUUAUGCUUGGUUCCACUCGGCGUGAUAAGUUAUCUAUCGCUGAGGACACUUUAAAAAGUGGCCAAGGUAAAUACAGAUGAACCGCUUCUAAUAGUCCAUUGACUUGGACAAAUAUCUUUAUGAUCUGAUCUCAAAUCAGGUAGGACUACCCGCUGAACUUAA